Molecule: small nuclear RNA, 116 nt
Filed under: Crocodylus porosus (Australian saltwater crocodile)
Lineage: Eukaryota; Metazoa; Chordata; Crocodylia; Crocodylidae
Description: U2 spliceosomal RNA (ENSCPRG00005018377.1)
Rfam family: U2 spliceosomal RNA
About the family: U2 is a small nuclear RNA (snRNA) component of the spliceosome (involved in pre-mRNA splicing). Complementary binding between U2 snRNA (in an area lying towards the 5' end but 3' to hairpin I) and the branchpoint sequence (BPS) of the intron results the bulging out of an unpaired adenosine, on the BPS, which initiates a nucleophilic attack at the intronic 5' splice site, thus starting the first of two transesterification reactions that mediate splicing.
Source: RNAcentral
UGUUCUCCAUAAGAGGUCUAUGUUGAGUAGAUUUUUGGUGUUGGGAGGUGGAACUGGAGCUUGCUCCAUCCCCUCCAUGCAUCGGCCUGGUAUUACAGUGGUUCCAGGAGCGGUGC